Long non-coding RNA from Stylophora pistillata, 1182 nucleotides. The record is from RefSeq and is a predicted model, not a curated record. Lineage: Eukaryota; Metazoa; Cnidaria; Anthozoa; Scleractinia; Pocilloporidae.
UGUUAAGGCAGGCUACUUGUGUGAUGCGUUCUGGGAGGAUGCAAAUAGCAAAGGGCUGGUUUCCAGCGAUAAUUCUCACUUUUGGUGGAACUAAGCCAUCAUGAUGAUAUUUUUUUAUGAAGUGACAGUCUUUUGCAGAAUGGAUUACUACUUCCCUGGCUCACCAAGCUUACACUCUUACUUUGGACCAUGUCUUUCAUCAUUUUGAUUGAUUGAUUCUAGUUAGGGAAGGGGGCUAUUCAAGUGCAUGGUGAUCUCAUCAAUCUCUGGCAAUCUAGGUUUUGUUCUGGAUGAGAAAAAUUACAGAAAGCAGGCUGCCACAAUUGUAAAUAAACCCUGCAAGAUAAGUGCUGUUGAGCUUAUAAAGAAGUAUUAUAAAAAAAAAAAUAAAAAAAAACAGCUAGAACUUUAUCACAAUUUUAUGAUUAUUCCUGUCUUUUUAAAUGAUUUUUGAAGUUUUAUAUAUUCUUGCUGAUUAGAAGAGAAAUGAAAAUUGCAUACAUACUUUUAAAUUUAUAUCAAUAAACUUUGUCAAAUAGAUAAUAUUGCAGUGUCUUAUUCACUUGUUCUUAAUUAAUGAACUACACCCUAUGCCCCCCCCCCUUGAUAGUCUCCCCUAUAGCCACAGUAGGGAUCCACAGACAGCUAACAUAUCUGUAGUAGCAGAUAUUUCCACAGAUAUGGAUGUACUGUUGGUUUUUUGCAUCUGUCACAAUAUAUCUGUCACAGUUAGAAAUUUUGGGCCAAAUUCCCAUAUGUUACAGAUAUGUUACAGAUAGGGCAUGCAGGUAUUUCACAGAUAUGCUGCAGACCUGAGGAACAUAUCUGUAGCCCAUCUGUCUGUUUGGUGAGGGUCCUUUAAAAGCAAUUGAAGUAAAAAAGAAAUAUCACCAACAAUGAGUGUGAUAAUUAUUAACGUUAUAGCUUGUUAUAACCAAGUCAACCAAAAUCAGGGCUCGACACUAAUGGUAGCCAAGUAGCCACAGACUAGUAGAAAUUCAGUUUUGGCUUAUGGUUUUGGAUUUCCACUAGCCAGUUUGGCUAGUAAACAUACUGAAAUUGUAUCAUCCAAGUUGUCACUUGCCACAUCAUUUUGGUUUGUAAUUUGAAAAGUUAGUGUCAAGCCCUGACAAUGCAUGCAUCACAUGUAGCUGCCACAACUUACUGAGUGCAAAAUAUUCC